Molecule: ribosomal RNA, 382 nt
Filed under: uncultured eukaryote
Lineage: Eukaryota
Description: partial 18S ribosomal RNA
Rfam family: Eukaryotic small subunit ribosomal RNA
Source: RNAcentral
CAAUAGCGUAUAUUAAAGUUGUUGCAGUUAAAAAGCUCGUAGUUGGAUUUCUGGUUGAAGCGACCGGUCGGGCGUUGAUUCGUCUGCACUGGAGUCGGUUUUGGCCAUCCUCUAGGAAAGUGCGUCUGGUAUUAAGUUAUCGGGCGUAUGAUCCUGGUCUUUUACUGUGAAAAAAUUAGAGUGUUUAAAGCAGGCCUUCGCCUUGAAUACAUUAGCAUGGAAUAAUAAGAUAGGACUUUGGUCUAUUUUGUUGGUUUGCAGACCGAAGUAAUGAUUAAUAGGGAUAGUUGGGGGUAUUUAUAUUCCGAUGUCAGAGGUGAAAUUCUUAGAUUUUCGGAAGUUAAACUUAUGCGAAAGCAUUUACCAAGGAUGUUUUCAUUAA